Non-coding RNA from Oryzias latipes (Japanese medaka), 519 nucleotides. The record is from RefSeq and is a predicted model, not a curated record. NCBI's taxonomy places the organism in Eukaryota, Metazoa, Chordata, Actinopteri, Beloniformes, Adrianichthyidae.
AACAAGGAUUUCCGGUUACCUUUCUUUUGCUAAGCACGCGGCGUGGAUGGUGUUGCUGCGCUGGUGUCCUCAGCAUUUAUGUGUAGAUUAUAGUUUAUUCCUUCGUUCAUUUUGUAAACAAGGUCUAAGAUGAUGCCUUGGAACAGAUACCAAUCAAGAGUCAAGCAAGGUGGCUGGAUUAUACGAGGAUGAUGAAGAUGACAGCGCGUGACAAGAUGAAGCUGGCAGAAUCCCUCUUGCAUCAGAUCAGUCACAGAGCUGCUGUUCAGGGAUGAUAAAACCCCAGAGCUUGAGCAGCAGUAUGGAUGAGUUCUGCAGAGAAGGCUCAUUCUAAGAGCAGUAGAUGUGGCCAAAGAUCCUCACCCUGCAGAGGGAUAAAUAUGGCAGCAUUUAAGUGGUUUUUUGAUGACCACAACCCUGAAAUCUUGGCUCCAUAAGCGUCUCGUCAUCUCAGAGCUGUUGGACUUCUUUCCAAAACAAUGAUUUUGAGUUCUCAAUAAAGAUUAUUUUAAAACCUUU